AGGAAGAAUAUGGAAAUAAGAAGGAUGAAGUGAAGUGAAGGACAUAUUGAAAAAUGUAAGGAAUAACUGCCAAGAUUCCUUCAGUUAUUUUCUGCAGAGCAGGUGAAAGCGUGUCUCAUGUUAAUUAAAAAGGAACAGAAAGAACGCCAGAGUCAGGGUUAACCUCAUCAUUUUCAGGGGACUCCCUGGUGAGUAUCAAAGGUAGCACUAAGUUAAGUAGGGAAAAGGCCCAUUAUUCCAAAAAUGCUACAAGGACUACAGUUUGCAUAGGAUAUUGCGAUGAGGAGACUAAUUACACUCCUUUUUAGGCUUGUAAGUAAAUAAUAUGGUUUAGGAAAAUAUAUAAUUCUCCUUGCAUAUAUUUUGAAACUUAAAAUCUUCAAUAAAAACUGUUAUGGCAAAAAAGGUCCCUAUGUGAAAAUGUAUAAGAAUUUCAGAUGUUCAUAUCUUAAUAUCUUUACCAAGUUCACCUCAUUUCAAUGAGGAAAAUCAAAUGGGUAGCAAGAGAAUGAAGAGACACAGAAAGUAAGGGACAGUUGGUAGAAAUAGGAUGAAAGAGGGAAGAAGGGAAUUUAAAAGAAGGAAGGAGGAAUGGAAGAGUUCAAGGAAGGAUGGAAGUAUAAAAAUGAAAAGGCAAAUUUUAACAUAGAAGAAAAACAAACAAGAUGCAAUGAAUUCUUUUCUGCAUAGCUGAGAGAAAGCAGUUCUUAGAUUAAUUAAGAAGGAAUAGAAAGAACCUCGAAGUCAUUGUCAACCUGGGAUUUCUCAGGGAAUCUGUUGGAGAGUAGGAAAGGUGGCCCUGGAUCCCAAUAGGGGAAGGUCCCAUCAUUCCAAAAAUGAGAUUAGGGAGAGGGACAUUAGCACAGUAUAAUGCAAUGGCCCUCACUUCAGUCUUCUUUAAACUUCUAGAUCUCCUUCAUCAGUUGAGCACCAAGAGUCAAUAAGAACGAAUAUCCUUUCUAAGUAUGGGUCACAUCCCAGCCAUACUGUUCUCUUUGGCUUGAUUUACCUUUUAAAAUCCAAACUUGUGCUGGGAAUUUUCAUUAAUGUUUUUACCAGUGACUUGCUCCCUCACUUGUGGCCAGAAUGCAUUUGGGCCCAGGAGAAUGGGGUCAUAUCCAGGCUCACAUUAAUCCAGAAAUGAUCAGGAGAAGCCUCCAAGUCGCUGACAGCCACUGAUCUCUCAGUGGACCCCCUGAUCUCAUUCAUCAGUUGCAUCCAAUGUGUCAAUAAGGACCAAGAUCUUCUGUAAGUAUGGUCACAUCCACAUAAUCCUGUUCUGUUUAGCUUGAUUUACCUCGAAGUCCAGCCUUGUGCUGAGAAGUUUUCAUCAGUGUCUUUGCCAGUGGUGUCCUCCUUCAAUUGUGGUUACAGUGAGUUUUUGGCCUUGUAAGUAAAUAAUAGGAUUUAGGGAAAUAUAUAAUCCUUCUUGCAUAUAUUUUGAAACUUAAAAGCUUCAAUAAAAACUCUUAUGGCAAAAAGGUCCCCAUGUGAAAAUAUAUAAGUAUUUUACAAGUUCAAAUCUUUAUAUUGUUAACAACUUCACCUCAUUUCGAUGAGGAAAGUCAAAGGGGUAGUAAGAGAAUUAAAAAGAGAGACAGAAAGAAAUGACCAACAGGAUGAUUUCAGAAAGGC
This is a long non-coding RNA of Sarcophilus harrisii (Tasmanian devil), 1635 nucleotides long. RefSeq lists it as uncharacterized. The record is from RefSeq and is a predicted model, not a curated record. The transcript is spliced from 3 exons. NCBI's taxonomy places the organism in Eukaryota, Metazoa, Chordata, Mammalia, Dasyuromorphia, Dasyuridae.